ACUGUCUUCAAAGAGUACACCAAAUAGUGUUCUGGCCCAGCACUUGGGCAGGUUAAAACAUCUAAAUGGCUGGGGAAAAGUUACUGUGAGAGAACAUGACCUCAUAAGGCUGAGAAAUCUAUGAUGAUGUAACAGAUUGCUAUGCCAUAGGACAAUUGCAAAGUGCUGAAUGUUUUAAAAUAAAAUUUUCACCCAUAAGGGACCUGCCAGGUUUUGAAAAUCAUUUUUUUCCUGCAGAAUUCCAUCGAACAAUAAAGGCCAUGUUUUAAAGAGCAGGAGUGUUCCUUUUAGAAGAGGUGACACUGCUUAGCUGUGGCUUCAGAAACGGCCUGUGCAAUGGGCUCUCUCCAGCCCCCUUGCAUGGAGGCAAGGGUGAGAGGUCAGCUGCAGGCAAGUGAGCUGUUACCACCGCAGACGUGUGGCUCACCACCCAGCACCUCUGGAUACCCCCACAGCACUCCUGCCCUGACACGGUUCAGAAAAGUAAGCAAGAGGAAUUAGAACACAUGUAAGAAUUCUGAAUCUCUUGUUUUCUACAUGCAUAUUUUCUGGACAAAGUGAAAGCGAUAUAAAUGUACACUUAAAGGGCACUAGAAGACUUCUAAGUAGAAAGUGCUGGAAGUGCCACUGAACAAUUUAAUGUCAACUUCACUAGCCCUCCUCUCCCUUGGGAAGAAACAUCACAAAGCUUGGAAUGAUUUCACAGCUGGCCACAGACAAAUAUAUUCUACUUACAAGCGGGAGACCAAAUAAUGAGACUCUGUAUCUAGCUGGUUCCCUGUACAUCUCAGAAUUGGAACUCAUCCCUGGAAUGCUGAGCUGGCCUCUGUGGGAUUACAGAUUCUCUGAAGUCCUCUCUUCACAAGACAACAGGUAGUCAGAGGAUUGAUCUUCAAUACGGAGGAGGAAUGAAAAACAAAGGCAGUAAAGGCCUGUAAAUUUCUGACUGAAAGUUUUACCCAGAAAAAUCUUCUUGAUGCAUGGUGAUGAUUAUGGCCUCGAUGGCAUCUCCUACUGAAGUCAGUAAGGGCUGCACAGCACUCCCCAUAAGAGUGUGAAU
Molecule: long non-coding RNA, 1060 nt
Organism: Heterocephalus glaber (naked mole-rat)
Lineage: Eukaryota; Metazoa; Chordata; Mammalia; Rodentia; Bathyergidae
Source: RefSeq, a predicted model, not a curated record